RNAcentral lists this ribosomal RNA (446 nucleotides) under uncultured bacterium. RNAcentral's name for it is "partial 16S ribosomal RNA". It matches the Rfam family "Bacterial small subunit ribosomal RNA", at positions 354 to 796 of the family's 1533-position model. The record is from RNAcentral.
GUAAGGAAUAUUGGUCAAUGGGGGCAACCCUGAACCAGCCAUGCCGCGUGAAGGAUGAAGGCGUUAUGCGUUGUAAACUUCUUUUGUAUGGGAAGAAUGACAGGGAUUUAUCCUUGGAGAGACGGUACCAUACGAAUAAGCACCGGCUAACUCCGUGCCAGCAGCCGCGGUAAUACGGAGGGUGCAAGCGUUAUCCGGAAUCACUGGGUUUAAAGGGUACGUAGGCGGUUAAUUAAGUCAGUAGUGAAAGACUGUCGCUCAACGACGGAUGUGCUAUUGAUACUGGUUAACUUGAAUCAUGUUAGAGUUGGCGGAAUGGGUCAUGUAGCGGUGAAAUGCUUAGAUAUGACUUGGAACACCGAUAGCGAAGGCAGCUGACUGAGCCUUGAUUGACGCUGAGGUACGAAAGUGUGGGUAGCGAACAGGAUUAGAAACCCUAGUAGUCC